GCAAACUUGGUCAUUUAGAGGAAGUAAAAGUCGUAACAAGGUCUCCGUUGGUGAACCAGCGGAGGGAUCAUUACCGAGUUUACAACUCCCAAACCCUUAUGUGAACCGUACCCAUCGUUGCUUCGGCGGAACGCCCCGGCGCCCUGUGCCCGGACCCAGGCGCCCGCCGGAGACCCCAAACUCUUGUUUUUAUUGGUAUUCUCUGAGUGGUAAAACAAAUACAUCAAAACUUUUAACAACGGAUCUCUUGGCUCUGGCAUCGAUGAAGAACGCAGC
RNAcentral lists this unclassified non-coding RNA (276 nucleotides) under uncultured fungus. RNAcentral's name for it is "partial contains small subunit ribosomal RNA, internal transcribed spacer 1, and 5.8S ribosomal RNA". The stretch from base 1 to 73 matches the Rfam family "Eukaryotic small subunit ribosomal RNA", at positions 1759 to 1831 of the family's 1831-position model. Lineage: Eukaryota; Fungi. The record is from RNAcentral.